AUAACGCUCGGCGUGCUGCUUUAACAUGCAGUCGAACGGCAGCACGGGGGCAACCCUGGUGGCGAGUGGCGAACGGGUGAGUAAUGUAUCGGAACAUGUCCGGAAGUGGGGGAUAACGUAGCGAAAGUUACGCUAAUACCGCAUAUGCCCUGAGGGGGAGAGGAGGGGAUCGCAAGACCUUUCGCUUUCGGAGUGGCCGAUAUCAGAUUAGCUAGUUGGUGAGGUAAAGGCUCACCAAGGCGACGAUCUGUAGCUGGUCUGAGAGGACGACCAGCCACACUGGGACUGAGACACGGCCCAGACUCCUACGGGAGGCAGCAGUGGGGAAUUUUGGACAAUGGGGGCAACCCUGAUCCAGCCAUGCCGCGUGAGUGAAGAAGGCCUUCGGGUUGUAAAGCUCUUUCAGCCGGAAAGAAAUCGUGCAGAUUAAUACUCUGCAUGGAUGACGGUACCGGAAAAAGAAGCACCGGCUAACUACGUGCCAGCAGCUGCGGUAAUACGUAGGGUGCGAGCGUUAAUCGGAAUUACUGGGCGUAAAGCGUGCGCAGGCGGUUUUGUAAGACAGACGUGAAAUCCCCGGGCUUACCUGGGAACUGCGUUUGUGACUGCAAGGCUAGAGUAUGGCAGAGGGGGUAGAUUCCACGUGUAGCAGUGAAUGCGUAAAGAUGUGAGGAAUACCGAUGGCGAAGGC
This 691-nucleotide ribosomal RNA is filed under the name uncultured beta proteobacterium. RNAcentral describes it as "bacterial SSU rRNA". It matches the Rfam family "Bacterial small subunit ribosomal RNA", at positions 30 to 722 of the family's 1533-position model. The record is from RNAcentral. Lineage: Bacteria; Pseudomonadati; Pseudomonadota; Betaproteobacteria.